Molecule: long non-coding RNA, 777 nt
Filed under: Mytilus galloprovincialis (Mediterranean mussel)
Lineage: Eukaryota; Metazoa; Mollusca; Bivalvia; Mytilida; Mytilidae
Source: RNAcentral
UGGGGGAAGACUAUAAGUUGGAAUACCUUGUGUUUCAUCCCUUUUUAUAUUUAAGCAAAUAAGGCCACACCAAUUUGAUUCCUUGUUCGACGGACCCGCCCGCACCUAUUUUUUUCAAAACAGAAUUUUUUUAUUUUUUUUAUAUUCCCGCUUCCCGCAUCCGGAAAUGUAAUCAUGUCCAUUUCCCGCACCGUUUUUUUUUGUAAAUAUUAUAAAAAGAUAUCAACAUUUGUUUUUAAAAUCACAGUCUUAACCUGUAUAUAACGAUUUUAAACAUAAAAGCACCCCACCACACUUUGUAAAUAUCUGUGAGAAUAUUUGUUUCAGCAUGAAACCUAUUUAUCCAAAGCGGGAGUGUUCCGAUAUAAAUUUAAAGAACAAAAAAUUGAUUACUUUCCCCCUUACUUAUAUUCCCUAUCGAAAAAAUGUUCGUUAUGUUAGAAUAAAGUACAAAGAACUUCUGAAAGAUUUGCCUUCAACUGCAAUUAUAUUGUAUGCUGGCAAAACAAAACUAUCCAUAGCCGCUGCAUGUUUAUGCACCUGUCCUGAUUGAUUGAGGGGCCUGUCGUUCAGCAGUUAUCGUUUGUUGAUGUUGUUCAUUUGUAUUUUCCCGUUUGGAUAUACAUGAUAUAUAGAUUAGAUCGUUGGUUUUCCUGUUCGAAUUGUGUACGCUAAUAAUUUUGGGGUCCUUUAUAGCCUGCUGUUUGGUCUGUAUCAAAGCCCUGUGUAAAAGGCCGUAUUUUGAUCUGUGUUUGUUAUUAUCAGGUUGAGAACAAU